This is an RNA transcript of Cylas formicarius (sweet potato weevil), 1646 nucleotides long. It is a transcript of the gene named phospholipase A1-like, with no coding region annotated. The transcript has 4 exons. NCBI's taxonomy places the organism in Eukaryota, Metazoa, Arthropoda, Insecta, Coleoptera, Brentidae. The record is from RefSeq and is a predicted model, not a curated record.
UAUUUUUAUGAAACUGUCUCAGCUAUAAUAUCAUAAUCCUUACUUAACGUCCACGGCUUCGGGGCGCUUAUUGGACAGAAUAAAAGGACUUGCAAAUGAAUUUCAUUAUGUUUUCUCAAAGCCAAUUUUUCUUAAGCUCGACAUUUCGGGCUAAAACGGAAAUAAAAAUACUAAAUUUCUAAUUAAAUCUGUACUUUUCGUGAUUUAGGGUGACGGGAAACUAUUAUCUGAAAACUAACGACGACUCACCGUACGCGUUGGGCGACAUUGGGCUUUGAGGUGGCGUGUGGUUUUUCUAUAAUAAAUAAAUUUAUAAAAUAUGCACAAAAUUUAUUUCUAAAAUGACGAGGUACUUUUAUAAAAUCGGCGUACUUAAAUGCGCAAACAAGUGUUUGGGUGACGUAUAUCAGUUUUCGAGAGUACUUUACGCGAUUUACGUCCAAGAUGUUCGAGGACUUAAGUUUUCGUUAGUUCCGAUACUUCCGUGUGAAAAUGCGGUCCCUGCUGCUUGUCUAUUGCGUAGCUCCUCUAGUUCUCGGAGGUACUCUAUAUCGGGACAAUAUCGACUUAUUAUCGCAAAUUCGGCAGUUACAAGAGCUGACGUCCUCGCAGAAAAAAAUUAAUUUGACAUCGGCGUCUCCUUCGCCACGAGUAGCCGAAUCGGACGUCUCGUUUAGGGUUUACAACAGAAAAGAUGAGGAAGGAAAAGCAGUGUCGUGUAACGAAGCAAACAAAAUCAAAUCGAUAACUCAAUUCAACGAACGGUUGUCUACGGUAUUCAUAAUCCAUGGCUGGAUGAACAACUGCAACUCGUCCUCGGUUACUACCCAAAUUAGGGAAUCAUUGCUGACCAAUCACGACGUGAACAUCAUUACCGUAUGUUGGGACAGUUUGGCUAAUUGGGAUUACAUAAACUCCUGCUUGUCCGUAGAAGGAGUGGGCAGAUACGUGGGUGAUUUUAUUAGAACUCUAUCCGAAACGAACAACUACCCCUUGGAAAAUAUUAAAGUCGUCGGUCAUAGUCUAGGUGCCCAUAUCGCCGGUUAUGCUGGAAAAGAAAAUGGCGGCGACUUGGCUUAUAUUAUUGGUCUUGACCCGGCCGGUCCUUUGUAUUUUGAAAACGAUAAAGACAACAGACUCGAUGAAUCCGAUGCCAAAUAUGUUCAAGUUAUUCACACGGAUGCCGGCUUACUAGGCGCGAACUAUAAAGUUGGACAUUUGGAUUUCUGGCCGAACGGGGGUGAAAAUCAACCGGGGUGUUGGAUAGAUUUCAUCUGCUCUCACGGGAGAUCGUACGUGUAUUACGCCGAAUCGAUUGUAAAUAAUAACUUCAUCGCUAGAAGAUGCACGAGUUACGAUGACUACAUCAACGGAAAAUGUGAGCAAAAUGAAAAAACCCGUAUGGGCGGGUACAUAUUGGAUGACUCAAUAACCGGAAACUAUUAUCUGGAAACUGCUGACUCUUCGCCUUAUGCAGAAGGAGACAAAGAACUUUUAUUAUUGUAAUUAUAUACCAAUAUAAAUAAAUGGACUAUUUAAAAUCGUCUCCAUUUAUUUACUAAAAGCAAAUGUAGAUGAUAUAUAUAAUCCAGGAUAUUUGCUAUACCAAAGAGAAGACGGAUUGAUUGAAGUGGAAGACCUAAAUA